This 127-nucleotide non-coding RNA is filed under the name Platyophrya macrostoma. Lineage: Eukaryota; Ciliophora; Colpodea; Cyrtolophosidida; Platyophryidae. The record is from RNAcentral.
CCCCGCCGUACCACGACCGUUGUGACACUUGUAGCCCCUGACGAUUUUUCACUUGUUCAGUACUUCAUGAAGCGUGUGGGUGCGGAGGGUCCCGUGAUCAACAUUGGCCCGACGCAUCCGCUGCUCC